Molecule: ribosomal RNA, 236 nt
Filed under: uncultured bacterium
Lineage: Bacteria
Description: partial 16S ribosomal RNA
Rfam family: Bacterial small subunit ribosomal RNA
Source: RNAcentral
GAUCCUGGCUCAGGAUGAACGCUAGCGGCAGGCUUAACACAUGCAAGUCGAGGGGCAGCAUAAUGGAUAGCAAUAUCUAUGGUGGCGACCGGCGCACGGGNGCGUAACGCGUAUGCAACCUACCUUUAACAGGGGGAUAACACUGAGAAAUUGGUACUAAUACCCCAUAAUAUCAUAGAAGGCAUCUUUUAUGGUUGAAAAUUCCGAUGGUUAGAGAUGGGCAUGCGUUGUAUUAG